AGUGAACGCUGGCGGUAUGCCUAACACAUGCAAGUCGAACGGCAGCACAGUAAGAUCUUGCUCUUACGGGUGGCGAGUGGCGGGCGGGUGAGGAAUACAUCGGAAUCUACUUUUUCGUGGGGGAUAACGUAGGGAAACUUACGCUAAUACCUCAUACGACCUACGGGUGAAAGCAGGGGAUCUUCGGACCUUUCGCGAUUGAUUGAGCCGAUGUCGGAUUAGCUAGUUGGCGGGGUAAAGGCCCACCAAGGCGACGAUCCGUAGCUGGUCUGAGAGGAUGAUCAGCCACACUGGAACUGAGACACGGUCCAGACUCCUACGGGAGGCAGCAGUGGGGAAUAUUGGACAAUGGGCGCAAGCCUGAUCCAGCCAUACCGCGUGGGUGAAGAAGGCCUUCGGGUUGUAAAGCCCUUUUGUUGGGAAAGAAAAGCAGCAGGUUAAUACCCCGCUGUUCUGACGGUACCCAAAGAAUAAGCACCGGCUAACUUCGUG
RNAcentral lists this ribosomal RNA (492 nucleotides) under uncultured bacterium. RNAcentral describes it as "partial 16S ribosomal RNA". It matches the Rfam family "Bacterial small subunit ribosomal RNA", at positions 29 to 507 of the family's 1533-position model. The record is from RNAcentral.